AACGAACGCUGGCGGCAUGCCAACACAUGCAAGUCGAACGAGACCUUCGGGUCUAGUGGCGCACGGGUGCGUAACGCGUGGGAACCUGCCCUUAGGUUCGGAAUAACUCCCCGAAAGGGGUGCUAAUACCGGAUAAUGUCUUCGGACCAAAGAUUUAUCGCCUUUGGAUGGGCCCGCGUUGGAUUAGCUAGUUGGUAGGGUAAAAGCCUACCAAGGCGACGAUCCAUAGCUGGUCUGAGAGGAUGAACAGCCACACUGGGACUGAGACACGGCCCAGACUCCUACGGGAGGCAGCAGUGGGGAAUAUUGGACAAUGGGCGAAAGCCUGAUCCAGCAAUGCCGCGUGAGUGAUGAAGGCCUUAGGGUUGUAAAGCUCUUUUACCCGGGAUGAUAAUGACAGUACCGGGAGAAUAAGCUCCGGCUAACUCCGUG
This 432-nucleotide ribosomal RNA is filed under the name uncultured bacterium. RNAcentral's name for it is "partial 16S ribosomal RNA". It matches the Rfam family "Bacterial small subunit ribosomal RNA", at positions 29 to 507 of the family's 1533-position model. The record is from RNAcentral.